Long non-coding RNA from Oryctolagus cuniculus (rabbit), 1838 nucleotides. RefSeq lists it as uncharacterized. NCBI's taxonomy places the organism in Eukaryota, Metazoa, Chordata, Mammalia, Lagomorpha, Leporidae. The record is from RefSeq and is a predicted model, not a curated record.
GGCUUUAAGAGGGAGCCACAGCAAGCCUCUGCUGCUGCUGUUCCAUCCCGGGGGGAACACGCAGUCAUGGUGGACAUUGAAUGUGCCCGUGAUGACUACUGAUGAUGCUUAGUUCUCAGUAGGGAUCCUUUUCUAGUGCUGUUUGUUGCCUGUGAUGAUUACUGAUGAUGUUUGGUUCUCAGUAUGGAUACUUUUCCGGUGCUGUGUGAAGAUUGCCUAGUGAUGCCCACAGGACGGUGAAUUCUACGGAACAUAAGCACAACGUGGACGUGGAUCGAUUGGCUACUGCGGCAAUGGUGUUCUGUGACAGUCCCUCUGAUGAGGGAUUAGCAAAAUGGAUUCAUUUAAAAACAGGAUAUUCAGGGCCGGCGCCGCGGCUCACUAGGCUAAUCCUCUGCCUAGCGGCGCCGGCACACCGGGUUCUAGUCCCGGUUGGGGCGCCGGAUUCUGUCCCGGUUGCCCCUCUUCCAGGCCAGCUCUCUGCUGUGGCCAGGGAGUGCAGUGGAGGAUGGCCCAGGUGCUUGGGCCCUGCACCCCAUGGGAGACCAGGAAAAGCACCUGGCUCCUGGCUCCUGCCAUCGGAUCAGCGCGGUGCGCCGGCCGCAGCGCACCGGCCGCGGCGGCCAUUGGAGGGUGAACCAAUGGCAAAGGAAGACCUUUCUCUCUGUCUCUCUCUCACUGUCCACUCUGCCUGUCAAAAAAACAAAAAAAAAAAAAAACAAAAAAAAACAGGAUAUUCAGGACCUGCCGCUAUGCACAGAUCCUCUCUUUGUUUCUACUCUAUUGUUGGACCACUUGUGCUUGGACUCCUGGAACUCCCCUGCAGUUCUUUGGCACCAUUACCAGCAGAUGGGGAUGGAAGACUCACUCAAGAUCUCGCCUCAAGAUACCUUCUCCUGUCCUACUAAUUAGCCAUGUUACAGAUGAAUUUGACAGUAAUUGGAUAAAAUGUAACUACUCACACAGGGAGUAAAAAAUAUAAAUAAGUGUACACUGAACACCUCCCACCCUGCAUUUGAAUAUUUCAUCUGAAGUAAAUGUUACCUGUUGUAAAGUUAAUAUUACUAUGUAAAAUGAAAAAUUGUGGUGACAAAGUGUCCAGACUACGGUAAAACAAUGUAAUUCUUCCAUCACUGAAUUCAAUAUUACCCAUUCUGUUUUUGUAUUAUGUACUAACUCUACCCCUAUUACUGAUAGGAAUGCUUGGACAGCUAAUGCUUGGUUUGCUUUACAAAAAAAUUAUAAAUCAAAAUACUCCACAAAUAGUUAGGAUUCCACAAACCUGCAAAAAUGUAACAAUUACAGAUAAUAGGAGGCUACUACUAUUAUGGCUAAAUGGUUACCCUCAGUGUUCCAUCCACAGGAAAAUUUGUUGUUUUAUCAAAGGAAAUGUUGCAAAUAUUUAAUGAAACCCAAAUCACUAAUUUUAGAGUAAUACAAAAUGUUAGCACAUUUGUUAAUUGGACUGUGUGCACCUUACUAUAUAUUCUAACUCAAAGGAAAAAAGCUCAAUGACAAAUAAGCCUCUGCUGCUGCUCUUCCAUCCUGGGGGAACACACAGUCAUGCUGAAUGAUGAACGUGCCCGUGGUGAUUACUGAUGAUGUUUGGUUCUCAGUAUGGAUACUUUUCCGGUGCUGUGUGAAGAUUGCCUAGUGGUAAAUUCCCGGGUUGAGUCCCUACUCUUGGGGACUCCCCCCCACCCCCGUUCUUUCUCCUUCUCUCUCUCUCUGCCCUGCUUCUUAAAAUUUGCUACUUAAAUAAACUACUUGUUUCUUUAUACUACAAGGCUUGCAGAGUAUUUCUUGUGGAUCGAACUUAAAGUAACUAAGUCUUUGCA